Molecule: long non-coding RNA, 1218 nt
Organism: Bactrocera neohumeralis
Lineage: Eukaryota; Metazoa; Arthropoda; Insecta; Diptera; Tephritidae
Exons: 3
Source: RefSeq, a predicted model, not a curated record
ACAUUUGCACUGCACAUAAAUCAUUUUGCAACAUCCAUUUCGAACAUGAAACGCGAGGCGUCUACACGAUGACGUUGCGCCGUACAGUGUUUGUGGGGAGAUAAAAAAUUGGACGAGGUAAAAACUAUUUAAUGACUUUCUAUUUAAUUGCUGGAAUGCUGAUUAUGUCAGACGAAAUUUAUGUUGACUAAUCAAAAAGGAGGUUAAGUGAGAACAGAGUUGCCAUUACUUAUAACUUAUAAAAGAGGUUUAAGGACAACAAGUAGUCAAGGUGGCAAUGUACAAUAAUCCAGUGGAGUGGAGACAGUGGAGUCUACGAAAUUAGAACGAACCCACAUUUAUAACCGGUCAGGUACUAUCGAUUCUCCAAUUCUACACAAUUAAUUGCGAAAGUUCACUGCUGCAACAACGGCAACAUCUACAUAUAAACAAGCCCACAUCAGGUCGUGGUCGAAUAAUUGGUUACAUAAUGAGUAUUAUUAAUAAAACAUAAAUCAUUCUCAAAAGAUAUUUGCAUUGUAUAGUGUUACAACAACUUUAAGCAAAACAUCAUAUUAACAAGAAGUCGAAUUCUUAUAGAAUUCUCAUCGCGUGAAUAUUGUAUUCUUAUAGUGAACGGUCUGGUGGAAAAGCUUAGAAUAAACAUAUUUCUUGGGAUUUCUUGUAUACGGUCUUAUCACAAAUUAGCACAUGGCAGUAAUAUCAGUUCAAAUAAUAGAAAAAAUCACUACAAAAGGAAAGUGUGGAAAGUUGUCACCAGCUUCGAGGUGUCGAUGUACUACCAAAGUCGCCACCAUCACUCGUACUCCCACCACACAAUCCCACACAAUCAUAGUUGCUCCGCUACGAAAGCGUGCAGCUAAAAACAUUGCUCUGAAACAUCGUUGCAAUCGUCGUCAUCCCAAAUGGAAAAACCGAAAAAUCAUUUAUCUUAAUAUUCAACCGCAACAUGGCGAACACAUCGGUGUAUAUAAGUGUGUACAUAUAUAUAAAUAUCUGUGAGCGUUCUGACACGCUAUAAUAGCUGACGAAUGUCGUUCGUUCGUUAAAGAUCGUUGUGCGCCGAACAACGCUAGAAAACUAUGAUCGCGUUCAAACCCGGGUCUGGCUAUGCACACCCGUUUAACGUUGCAUAACUGGCGAGCUGCAGAGGUCCAUAAGGUUUAUGCUUGAAUAUGUGUUCUUGUGUCUCGUCUAUCGCAAAGCCUGGUAAUAUUU